AAGUCGUAACAAGGUUUCCGUAGGUGAACCUGCGGAAGGAUCAUUAGAGAGAACUGGCCCUUUGGGGCAAAUCUCCCACCCUUUGUCUACCAUACCUUUGUUGCUUUGGCGGGCCCGGGCAAGAGCCCCUGCCCGCCAGAGGACCUGAACCCAAGUAACAUGUCGUCUGAGAAAAACAUAAUAGUUAAAACUUUCAACAACGGAUCUCUUGGUUCUG
Molecule: unclassified non-coding RNA, 217 nt
Filed under: Helotiales sp.
Lineage: Eukaryota; Fungi; Ascomycota; Leotiomycetes; Helotiales
Description: partial contains small subunit ribosomal RNA, internal transcribed spacer 1, and 5.8S ribosomal RNA
Rfam family: Eukaryotic small subunit ribosomal RNA (bases 1-46)
Source: RNAcentral